GCGAUUGCAGAUUCAGUGAGUCAUCGAAAUUUUGAACGCAUAUUGCACUUUCGGGUUAUGCCUGGAAGUAUGUCUGUAUCAGUGUCCGUAAAUCAAACUUGCCUUUCUUUUUCUGUGUAGUCAGGGAUGGAAUGUGCAGAUGUGAAGUGUCUCGCAUGGUUGCGUUCGUUUUUUCGAUCGAGAAUCUGUCGAGUCCUUUUAAAUGGACACGGUCUUUUCUAUGGUUUCUAUGAAGUGUAAUGGUUGGAAGGCAGUGAUUUUCGGAUUGCUGGCGGCUUUUGGCGACUUCGGUAUGAACGUAUGGAGACUAGCUCAAUUCGUGGUAUGUUAGGCUUCGGCUCGACAAUGUUGCGUAAUUGUGUGUGGUCUUUGUUUGUGCCUUGAGGUGUACUAGAGGUUGUCGGUUUGAACCGUAAGUGAUUGUUUAGUAGAGCAUUUUCACGAUGUAUGGAGACGCUGCAUUUAGUUGCGUAGAGAGAUUGAUUUGGGAAAUUUUGUAUCAUUGUCAAUUGCAAGAUUGUGUAUGGUAUCUCAAUUGGACCUGAUAUCAGACAAGACUACCCGCUGAACUUAAGCAUAUCAAUACGGGAGGAAA
The sequence is a ribosomal RNA, 595 nucleotides long. The stretch from base 1 to 87 matches the Rfam family "5.8S ribosomal RNA", at positions 67 to 154 of the family's 154-position model.